This 253-nucleotide ribosomal RNA is filed under the name uncultured bacterium. RNAcentral's name for it is "partial 16S ribosomal RNA". It matches the Rfam family "Bacterial small subunit ribosomal RNA", at positions 524 to 776 of the family's 1533-position model. The record is from RNAcentral.
UACGGAGGGUGCAAACGUUGUUCGGAAUUAUUGGGCGUAAAGCGCACGUAGGCGGCGAAUCAGGUCGGGUGUGAAAUCCCGGGGCUCAACCCCGGGCCUGCGCUCGAAACCGGUUGGCUGGAGUCUCGGAGGGAAAGGGGGAAUUCCUGGUGUAGGGGUGAAAUCCGUAGAUAUCAGGAGGAACACCGGUGGCGAAGGCGCCCUUUUGGCCGAGUACUGACGCUGAGGUGCGAAAGCGUGGGGAGCAAACAGG